AAAAAUGCUGAUUUAUCUUAUUGUUUGUUUACAAUAGUUAUCAAAGGUACCAGGAUUAUAAUUUAGUACGCCAGACGCGCGUUUCGUCUACAUAAGUCUCAUAAGUGACGCUCAUAUCAAAAUAUUUAUAAAGCCAAACAAGUACAAAGUUGUAGAGCAUUGAGGACUCAAAAUUUCAUACCAAGCCAAAUACGGCUAAGAUAUACAAAGACAACAACAGAAUUCUCAAAGGUUUACUGAAUUAGGUAUGGUUACGUUUAUGGCGAAGUAAAUGAAUAUACAGUUCAAGAGAGGAAAAUGAGAUAUAUUCGAAGAAUUUGAUUGAGAGGUUACUUUGCAAUUGGUGUAUGACAAUCAUCUUUGCUUGGAAAAUACUCACAUAGUAUAAAGUUUUCAAUUUUGUUUAAUUCUUAUUCUGUCGUUUAGCAUAUGAGUUUACACUACGUCCUAUAUAUAAUAAUGAAGGACGCGAUAUGCAACAUAACUUUGAAUUGCAACUACGAUAAGAGAUUGAAUGAAAAUUGGAAUUACAGUAUUAUGUCUAAAAAUAAAUCAUUGUUUCGAAUAAGAAUAUAAUAUUAAUAGGAUUUUACUUUUUUAAAACAUAUGUUUAAGGUUUUGAUUAUUUCAAACGUUUCUUCAUGAAAUCUAUCGACACUAAUGGGUAACCUCUUCGAAAAUUAUGUUGAAUGAAGUGUUAAAAAUGUCAAAUAUUUCUGCUUAUGUUUUGAUUGUUUUAAACCAGUAGUCUUGUGUUAAUUUCUGCAGUAUAAUUAUAUAAAGCAACAACAUAUUACAUAAAGGAACUGAAAGAAGUAUCUAAUGUUUCACUUGAAUUAAAUUUUAACGGAGUUUGGUAAUUAAUUGUGAUUCAUAACAAACCGUUAAGAUUGAAAAAGCACUGAAUAACAUAGUAAGAAAAUAAUAACUCUUUAACAAGUAGGUUACUUAUAUUGAAUAUAAGCAGUGAGUGUUCAAUUCAGACAGAUACUAUUUUUAAUUUGCUGUACGCCAUUUUCCGAAUUCUGAUAUAAGUUUCCGCGAUUUAUGAAUGAACAGCAAAAAAACACACAAAAAGAUGGAGAAACUCCGCCCACCAGAAUAAUAUGUAUUAUGUUAUAACAUUUCUGGUGCAUUAGAGUCACAGGAAGAACAUUGUGGACAUUAUAAAAUAAUGUAACUAAUAAAAAUAUUCAAUAAUUAAUUAUACAAUUAUUUUAAUAGAUAUUCAUUGGAGCUAUCAGCUGUGAAAUAAGGUACAUCUAAUUAACCUCAAUAAAUGUCAAAGAAAUCAUUGAAAUCUAUAUCAUAUUUAUUUUCACUCAUACUAAGUUCUGAUGUUAUAUUACGAAAUAAUCAAACAUUUGUUAUCAUACACUCAUCAUAGAUACCAGUAUAAAUUUUGUAUAUACGCCAACGCGCGUUUCGUCUACAAAAGACUCAUAAGUGACGCUCGAACCCCAAAAAGUUGAAAAGCCAAAUAAGGUACGAAGUUGAAGAGCAUUAAGGAUCAAAUUCCUAAAUGUUUUGCCAAAUACAGCUAAGGUAAUCUAUGCUGAGGUAGAAAUGUCUUAGUUUUUCAAAAUUCUAAAUUUUGUAAACAGUUAAUUUACCACUGUCAAAUGGUAUAACAGAAUAUAAAAAAAACUUGUUUGGUGGUGAGAUGAAAUAGGACAUAUAUCAAGCCUACAAAUAUUUAUUAUAAAUUAAUGACAAAUAUGAAUAAACAGUUGUCCUUAAUGCUUUUAGAUGUUUAUAGAUAAUUGUAAACUUUCCAUUGCCUAAGUAGCAACAUUCCAGCAGCACCUGCAUACGGGGUAAUAUCUCCUAAUUGUUACGAUAUUCCGUGCAUGUAUUUCCUAUCACGAUCUUCUUGAUAGAGGGUUGCUGAUCCAAGGAAGUUAUUAAACCUAGAGUUCCAAAUGUUGAAGUUGAAAUCAUCCCUUUGUAAAUUUUACGGACGCCAUCACGAGUUGAUUGACCGUUAUGGAAUAACUGUUUCACAAAUGAUAUCGGAUAUGUUCCUUACGUUGUAACUACAAUCCCCUUCCCUUUAAUGAAUGUGACCUACCGAAUAAGACUAUUUACUGGAUUUGUUAAAAUAUGAGCAACACGAUGAGUGCCACAUGUGGAGCAGGAUCUGUUUACCCUUCCGGAGCACUUGGUAUCACCCCUAGUUUUUGGUGGGUUCGUGUUGCUUUUUCUUCAGUUUUCUAUGUUGUGUAAUGUGAACUAUGAUUUGACUGUUUGUCUUUUUCAUUUUUAGCCAUGGUGUUGUCAGUUUAUUUUCGAUUUAUGAGUCUGACUGUCUCUCUGGUAUCCUUCGUCCCUCUUUGAUAAAGAUGAAAUAUCCACCGAUUUGACUCAAAUUUUCAUAUUGGAUUGAUAACCAUGUAAAACGUUUAUCCAAAUUAUAAAAUAAUUUACAGGGCAUGAACUUGAAUAUAUGUAGUUUCGUUUCUUGUGUUAAGUCUUCACGCCAUCUAAAUUAUCUAUCGAGUUGACCUCCGAAAACCUCCGGAGGUCAUGUAAGCGAUACAAGCAUAAAUAUAGAUAUAAAUAGAAAGCAAAACUCGUGCAAUUGGAUUUUUUAGGUCUGUUUAAUUUCAUAUUACAAAUUGACAUUAUAUGUAAAUCAUCAUUUUUACCGGUACAAGUAUGAUUUUUUUUAUGGAUCGAAUCAGUAAAUCAAAUGCUUUACCUUUGUUACAUGAAUUUUGAAAAUAUAUACUUAUGUUAGUUUUCGCUUCAAUAAAUAAACAUUUCAUUUAAUUCUUUUUUUUCAGGUAAAAUUGAAGGCCGGCCAUUCUUCAUGCAGUAUCCAAUUCUGUGCGAUAUAAUCGGGAAAAUGUGUACAGUUUCAUGUAUCGUGUCUCUUGGGUCUAUCACAUUGCUCAGUUUCAACAGAUACAUAUUAAUCUGUCACAACUCUCAUUACGAGAAAAUAUUUACUCGGCGAUCAUGUAUCAUAAUGUGUAUAUCACUGUAUGUAGUUGGACUGAUCAUGGUUCUACUUAAUUAUGCUGGAAUUGGUGGACAUGGUUUUGAUGACAAAAGUUUGGAAUGUAUUUGGGACAGAAUGGCAACAUACAGUUAUACUGUUGUAUUUUCAGUUUGUCUUGUGUGGAUUCCUUUGAUAGUUGUAGGAAUUUCUUACUUAAAAUUGUUUUUAUUUGUCCGACAUACAAGAAAACAAGUUACAAGUAGAGGAAACGCACCAGUCAUUGACAAUAAAUCUUUGCGCCUUGCAAAAACAAUAUUUAUUGUGUAUGCAAUAUUUUCGAUCUGUUGGAUACCGUUUGCAAUAUUGCUUGUGGCUGAUUCAAACGAUACAUUUUCCCACGAAGUGCAUCUUUGUAUCACAGUGUUUGCCCAUUUUCAUCCAUCGAUUAAUUUCUUUAUUUAUUAUUUUUCAAAUGAAAAAUUUAAAAAAGAUUUCCAUAAAAUGUUUAAGAUUGGCCACAAUGAAGUAGGAAAAGAGCCUACUGGUCAAGUGUCUCUAUCUUUUGUCACAAGGGUCAAUGAGAAAUCAUCUUCUUCUAAUUGUUGAAUAAAACCUCACACUAAAGAAAAACUUUUAAGGAACUACCAAUGUCGUAAACAAGUUUUGCGCCGGAAAAAUGACAUAUAAGUUAUCAGUUUGAUUUAAAUGACUAUUAAUCAUAAAAUAAAAAAGAAUCACUGCACCUUAGUAACAUUAUUAGUUACUUGAUGAUCUUACCGUUUCAGUAUGAGGAAUGAAUGACUCUUUCCCAAACUGAAAAACAGGUAGCAUCGUAUUGCUUAUUAUUGAAAAGGUAAACAAUGGGAAUUGUAAGAGGUAAAAGAACCGAUAAAUUUCAUUAAAUUAUAUACUUUUGAAAAAAAUCAAAGUCAGCCAUGAUAUGAUAUUCACUAGUAGAUCGAUUUUGCAUUGAAACAAUUAUUAAAUCAAAGGAGUUCUUAAAAGACUGAAAAAUCAGUUGUAAAGUAAGUUUCGAUCGUUUAGUUUUUUUCAGUCUCAUUCAUUGUGAUAAUUCAACACCGUUCGGAUUUUCUCUUGCAGUAAAUGGGAUUGCUUCUGUCUGUAUUUACUUGAUCAUUUGUUUUAAAAGUGCUGUCGAAGGUGCCCGUGUGAACGAUCUCUAAUCCCCUACGUGGCAGAUGCAUUCGAUUCAAAUCUAAAUUGACUAGGAUUGUCAGUUUUCCUACGGAGGUCAGUGGUUCUCUCCAGAUCUCCACUAAAAGAACUGGCCACCCCACAAUAGCAAGUAGUGCUGGAAAAGAGAGGCGAACAAAAGAGACUUUAAAUGCUAAUCAAUAAAUACUGAUGACGAAACAGUUUAUUUUGAACAUGCAAAAUUUGAAAUAUUAUUGUAAGUGAUAUUAAGUUACAAUUGUCUUUAUUUAGAUCAACCAUAUAUAGAAAUAGAGAUUUAUGAAUAUUUGUAGUGAUUAUAAUUGUGAUGAUUGUAUGAAAUAAACUUCAAAGUUCAAUAAUAAAAUGUAUUUGGUGGACCAAAAGAAAAGGAAUUACAAUGAAGAAAAAACAUCACUUUGGUUAUAUUAUUCCUUACUGAUGAAAUAUCAUUGAGCCCCGAUUAUUAUUCUGAACAAAAUCACGAUCAAUGUUGAUAAUACGAUACAAUUAUGAGC
RNAcentral lists this long non-coding RNA (4635 nucleotides) under Mytilus galloprovincialis (Mediterranean mussel). The record is from RNAcentral. Lineage: Eukaryota; Metazoa; Mollusca; Bivalvia; Mytilida; Mytilidae.